Molecule: long non-coding RNA, 1292 nt
Organism: Ctenopharyngodon idella (grass carp)
Lineage: Eukaryota; Metazoa; Chordata; Actinopteri; Cypriniformes; Xenocyprididae
Exons: 2
Source: RefSeq, a predicted model, not a curated record
UUCUUCAGGUGUGUUUGGUGUUACAGUACAGUGUGGGAGGAAACUCUGAUCUUAUUGAAAUAAUGGAUGAUGAUGUGAUUCAGUGGAGGUUUGGAAACACUUUAAUAGCUGAAAUCAAUAAACGGGUCGACAGAAUCACUGUAUAUGAUGAUGUUCUUGAUGGGAGAUUCAGAGACAGACUGAAGCUGGACAAACAAACUGGAUCUCUGACCAUCACAGACAUCACAACUGAACAUGCUGGAGAUUAUAAACUGCAGAUCAACAGUGUGAAGAAGAGUUUUAUUCUCCUUGUCUUUGGUGAUUUUUAAUAUUUGUUUCACUUGUUUUAUUUUUUAUCAGCAGUUAAAAUUUUAACCCACAAAAACUUUUUUUUUUUCUGUUGUUUUAUAAGAAUAAAUUUCAGAGAAUUUACUUUCAUAAAAAUCUUAAAGUUAUUUAUAAAUAUUAAUCUGUGCACUGUUUCGUUUUUUUUUUUUUUUUUUUUUUUUUUUUUUUGUGGUGAUACAGUUAAAAUAUCACUGAAGGAGGGAGAUUCAGUCACUUUAAACUCUGAUCUUAAUGAAAUGAAGGAUGUUGAUGUGAUUCAGUGGAGGUUUGGAAACACUUUAAUAGCUGAAAUCAAUGUAACGGCCGACAGAUUCACUUUAUAUGAUGAUGUUCUUGAUGGGAGAUUCAGAGACAGACUGAAGCUGGACAAUCAAACUGGAUCUCUGACCAUCACAAACAUCACAACUGAACAUACUGGAGAUUAUGUGCUACUGAUAACGAGAGCAAAACCUUUAUUAAAAACUUUCAGAGCUUCUGUCUAUGACUCCGUCCACUGUUGUGGUCCUGCUGAAGCUGUGAUCCGAUUGGUCCUCUCUGCUCUGGUGGGCGUGGCUACUGUCAUUCUUCUGGUUUCAGAUCCAGAAGAGCUGAACAACAUCAAGCACAUAUUCACACAUCAUGUACCUCAUUGAUGGUGUCAUUUCUCACAAACUGACUUGAAAUAUAUAACUUAUGAGAUUUACUUAUUUGUGGCUUUAUGUGUUCAUCUUUUUCAGGAAGUAUUGAAAUCUAAAGCAAAACGCUGAACUUUAAAGGUUCUUGAAAUGUUAUUUGUUCUUCUAGUGUUUUUUCAUAAUAAAUACUGAUGAUUGUUUAAGCUUGUGCUCUCUCUUUCAGUGAUGUAUUUUUAAAAAUCCAUUUCAAAAGGCUUUAUUGUUUAUAUUUAAACUCUAACACAGAUCUCGCUUCACUACUCUGUUGUCUAUAUGUAUUUGCUUGUCUUUAUCAAUAAAGCUUUCUCAGAG